Molecule: long non-coding RNA, 1025 nt
Organism: Triticum aestivum (bread wheat)
Lineage: Eukaryota; Viridiplantae; Streptophyta; Magnoliopsida; Poales; Poaceae
Exons: 4
Source: RefSeq, a predicted model, not a curated record
CCCCGUGUGUUCUCCCCCCGCUGGCAUCUCCUUUCUUCUGUAUUUCUUUUUAUCCGCGGCGUGUUAGAUCCAGCAGCAAAUCAUGGCGGAUAGGCUUUGGCCUCUUCCUCUGGCUGCCAUCCUCCUCCUCCUCCUCCUCUCUCUCUCUCUCUCUCUCUCUCUCUCUCUCUCUCUUGCAGGUGCUGAAGAGAAUUCAGCAAGUUAGAACCAACGUGCCAUCGUUCCAGAACACAAGCAGUACACAUGGCCAAAGGACAGGCAAUAUCAUGCUCUGUCAUGCCUCCAAAAAAAGUAAGAUCCUUCUGAUGAAUUUGGUUAUGGCUACGUAUUGCUCUCCUGCCCUAGCUCACUUGAUAUGAUCCAGGUGGCAAAACCUGAAGUUUGGGCAAAGUUCAGACUAAUGUUUGGUUUCUAGGUUCCCCGCUUUCUUCGGAAUCUCUUUUGUGUUGUCUCUAAGGUUAUAGUUUAAUUAUAUAGUACCAUGACACCGGGUAAUUGUUACAAGAUGAUGCAAUUGAUUACUUAAAGACAUGCUAUCAGACCUGCGUGUUGCAGAUCACUGUGUUCAGCCUCGCAGUGAUUGCUUUCAUGCCGACUCAGCUGUGAAGAAAGAAGAUUUGAACAUGCAUGAUAAAGGAUGUUGGAAUUAGGUUCCAAGGAUAAUAUCAAUUGAUUUUAUUUUCAACAAGGUUCUAAUUUUAAACAGGUAUGCAGAUUUUUUUUACCUUAUCCAAACAAGCAACCAGAUCACGAAAUUGACGAGAUUCUACUUAACCUUUUCUGAAUGCCUGAUACUGAAUCGGAACAAAACUAUGGCAACCCUGCCAUGCAAAAUAGGCCCAUGCAUGAAUCAUAUAUCUCAUGAGGUGACAGUCGUUCCCAAGUUUACAUUGCCUAAUACAUUGGAGGUUAGAGUUGUCUAUAUUCUCUGGAGUUGUUUUUCUAAUUGUUAGGGUACUGAAUUUUGCAUUGUUAAUAAGUAACAACUGUACGUGACAUCAGCCCGUGCACUCUAACUAAGUCAA